AGCAAAUUUUCAAUCCGACCUAAGUAACAAAAUAAACAAAAAUGAGGUUUUUGCAUAUAAUGAUACUUUAUGGAUUGCUUAACACUGUUCUGCAAGGGCACAAGUCAAAAAUAGUUUAAAACUUUUGGAAUUUGAAAAAUCAAAUUGACUUAAGUAACAUACUGAGCACUUUUCGUAUGUGUCGCUUUGUCGGUACAAUGACUGAUGUAACGCGCAUAACUCUCAAGCGACGUAACAGCGCUGUGAAAACGACCUAACAAUCAAUUUUUGUCAACAUAAAUCAUAAAUCUUUACGUCAAAACAUAAACUGACUUAAUUAAAUCACCUGAGCGAUUCCCGGCAGACUACCUUAUAUUGGAGACUCUCGUGAACUUUUCCUGGACUCCCUUUAUGGAUCGCGCCAGAAAGAGGAGUCGGCGUAUCUCAUCAGGUAGGCGUGCGCUGGCCGAUCUGGACGAUGGUGAACCAAGAAUGCGCAGACAUCCACGGCACUCAGAAAACUCAGUAUACCGGUGGCUAAACAUUGCCAAGCUUCUGUGCCCCGAACACUGUGGUCAGCUCGAGUGCCUUAAACUGACCGUCAGUCCCCGAUUUGCAGACAAACGGAUCGGCUACCAGGAGCAAUGCUGCUGCUUCCCGAACGGCACGAUGUCCACCAGCUGACCACAAAUUGUUUGGUAUAUGACCUCAAUAGUACCCAGUUCGUUGUAAGUCUGGCACGAAGUAUCCUUGGAGCCAAUCGUUUCGCCGGAUAUGGCCCGUGAUUUGGCUGGCAAGUUAAACCUCAUAGAAAUCUUCCUGACGACGAACCGAUUACAGCUGAACAAGAAGAAACACGGUAUCAACCGCUGGCGUCACCUUUAUAAUUGGAAUGUGAGAGAAAAGCCGAGAGGUACAGGAGAAAAUCCUCCUAUUAUAUGGGAUAUUCAAUCCCAUCAAUCAGGACACUAAUGCCAUCAGGGACGAGCAAAAACCUCGGGAAAACUAUUCUGUACUGGCCGGUGCGAGUGCUAACGAACAGUAUCAGAGCCGUGCAGUGACCUGGUAAUACCACAAAGUCAGUACUACCUUGGAAUGUCUCAAUGUUACGGACAUUUCGAUACGACGUCGGAGAUCUAGUUCCCCUUGGUCAAUAUUCACAACACUUGGCUAUGUUCAUGAAGUUAUUGAUUUUUCGGAAAACACAGAAAGAACAAA
This is a long non-coding RNA of Aedes albopictus (Asian tiger mosquito), 1197 nucleotides long. RefSeq lists it as uncharacterized. NCBI's taxonomy places the organism in Eukaryota, Metazoa, Arthropoda, Insecta, Diptera, Culicidae. The transcript has 3 exons. The record is from RefSeq and is a predicted model, not a curated record.